Molecule: non-coding RNA, 229 nt
Organism: Nicotiana tabacum (common tobacco)
Lineage: Eukaryota; Viridiplantae; Streptophyta; Magnoliopsida; Solanales; Solanaceae
Source: RefSeq, a predicted model, not a curated record
ACCAAGUCAAAAAACAAGACAAAAUACUAAAGAAUCCCAAGAAAAUUAUUCCUGAAAAAACCAUAGAACAUUUGCUUCUUGUCUUGCUUUUUCACACUCUAUACACAGGAAGUGAAAAAACUGGUUAGAAGAUGAGAAAAAUGAAGAAGAGAGAAUGGAGCUCUAUUCUUGGAUGGUUGAUCAUUUUUCUUCAGCUAUUUUUGUUGGCUGAAUCUGCAUUAACAAGAGA